Molecule: ribosomal RNA, 431 nt
Filed under: uncultured bacterium
Lineage: Bacteria
Description: bacterial SSU rRNA
Rfam family: Bacterial small subunit ribosomal RNA
Source: RNAcentral
UAAAGCCGGGCACUCUAAGGGGGACUGCCAGCGACAAGUUGGAGGAAGGAGAGGAUGACGUCAAGUCAUCAUGGCCUUUAUGCCUAGGGCCACACACGUGCAACAAUGGCCGGUACAGACGGAGGCAAUGCCGAGAGGCGGAGCAAACCCGAGAAAAACCGGUCCCAGUUCGGAUUGAGGUCUGCAACUCGACCUCAUGAAGUCGGAAUCGCUAGUAAUCGCAUAUCAGAACGAUGCGGUGAAUACGUUCCCGGGCCUUGUACACACCGCCCGUCACACCACGAAAGUUUGUUGUACCCGAAGUCGGUGCCUUAACCUCGCAAGAGGAGAGAGCCGCCCAAGGUAUGGCCGAUGAUUGGGGUGAAGUCGUAACAAGGUAGCCGUAGGGGAACCUGCGGCUGGAUCACCUCCUUUCUAGGAGAGAAGGGUCC